UCAUGGUACUUUGGACCAAUCUCUCAUAGGUAGUGUAGUGAGUGUCCCUAAAAGCAGUUCAGUUACUAAUAAUGUUGUCAAUCAAGAAAAUGCCCAACCUCAAGUUGCUGUUGUUGCAGCAACCUCUUCCCCUACUCAAACCUUUGGCUCAGUUACCAGAGCUGACCAACAAAAAUCUCUGUCAAGUUCUGAUCACUCUGAAACUUCUGUAUCUGGUGUUUAUCCCUCUUCUUCAGAUCCUGUGCUGGCACCAUCUAUCUCCCGGAAUCCUGGUGUUGGUGGUGCUAUCAGUAGGGAAGUAGGGAGUGUCCAGAUAUCUGCUGAGCCAAAUCAUGUUAAAGCAAAUAAACUUGAAGAAGCUGGUGAUUUAUCUUCAGCAGAUGCACCCCAUAGUGCUGCAAAUCAAUCUAAUGGGAAGUCUGGUCAUGGUACUUUGGACCAAUCUCUCAUAGGUAGUGUAGUGAGUGUCCCUAAAAGCAGUUCAGUUACUAAUAAUGUUGUCAAUCAAGAAAAUGCCCAACCUCAAGUUGCUGUUGUUGCAGCAACCUCUUCCCCUACUCAAACCUUUGGCUCAGUUACCAGAGCUGACCAACAAAAAUCUCUGUCAAGUUCUGAUCACUCUGAAACUUCUGUAUCUGGUGUUUAUCCCUCUUCUUCAGAUCCUGUGCUGGCACCAUCUAUCUCCCGGAAUCCUGGUGUUGGUGGUG
RNAcentral lists this long non-coding RNA (707 nucleotides) under Cicer arietinum (chickpea). RNAcentral describes it as "long non-coding RNA (CARI_LNC000608)". The record is from RNAcentral. Lineage: Eukaryota; Viridiplantae; Streptophyta; Magnoliopsida; Fabales; Fabaceae.